ACCAAGGAGAGGCCAACAGAUGAGGGGAGCCAUUUUUCUGCAAUGGAAUUAAAUGGCCAAAGCAGUAAACAGUCCUCAGCGAAGCCGCCUUUUGCCAACCCAACCCUGGAAAGUUUGCAGAAGUGGAAGGAGCAGAAAAUGCCAUGAGAGUAUAACUUACAAAAAGGCUCUUGGCUGGAGAAAAGGCAGCUGCCUGGCACCCCCAGAGUGAACUAUCCUCCUUUGGACAGCACCAGCAGGCCUAAUGUCACUCUGACAAGAAGGUAGGUGUGAGUCCUUUCCCAGCCUGCCAGGGAGAUUCGGGGGGCUUGGGAGCUCAGGGAGGGUGAGGGUGAGCACCCCAAACCCGCUGGGCUGGUUCUGCAGCCUCUCCCCCACGCAGAUGUGUGGGACUGUGUGUGUGAAAUCGGCUCCCUGCUAGGUCCAUCCAUCCCCGCCUGUCAGCUUCUGUUGUCAAGAGUUUGGGGUGUGCAAUUCUCUGCAGUCUUGAGCGCAUAGGAGGCUGCACUUGCAAGUAUUUACCAGUUGUGUGUUUUGUGGUGGGAGAGGGCCCUGGGUGCCUCUUCUGAAAGGUAGUGUCUGCUGCCAGGAAACCCGGCCCUGCUCUGGCCCUCCCUUCCUGCCCAGAGUGGGGGCGUGUGGGGUGACUGUGUGAGCUGGCCUCUUCCCCUCUGAUGUCUAGCUGCUAGGGAGGUGGAGAACACAAGUACCUGAGUUUUGGGCCAGCUUCCUCUGAGAAAGAGCUUUCUUGACUCUUCUCCCCAUUCCUUGGAAUUCCCACGGAUUCUCUGCACCACCACCACCCUCAAAAAGAAUACUGUUUGUAAAAUCAGACCCGGGAUUUGAAACCUGGCUGGCCAUUUACGUGCUGUGACUUUGCAUGAGCUGCUUGGUCUCUGAGCCCGUUUCCCUAUAUUGCUCAAAUGGGGCUAGGUCAGUGAUUCCCAGCCCUGAGCCUGCUCGUUACAAACGUCUCCCAAGGCCCAGUCCAACAGCUUUUGAUUCAGUAGGUGAGACCUGAGAACUUGCCUUUGUAACAAGCUCCCAGGUAAUCCUGAUGGCUGCAGUCUGAGGACACCUUUUGAGAACGUCUGGGCUGGGUAACACCCGGAGGUAUGGCGAGGAUGGCGUUAGUGCACUUGAAACCCCAUGCUCAGUGCUUGACAGAGGCGUUAGCUUGCCAAUAAUGGCAACUCUCUCCCCAUCCUCCUGAUACAAGCUGGCUGCUCAUACAUAGUUAACUACUGUCUCCAGGAAACUCCACAGCUGGAGGUGGCGUGGCCCUUGAUCUCUGAUCCCUUCCCCAUGUGAUCUCCAGUUAGGGAUUACUUUGAUGAACCAUUUGGGUCCAGGUGCCACUGAUCCCCACCACUCCCCCAUUUGGGCUGAGGUUUGGCUUCCUUGUGGGAUGAGCCCUGCCUACUUUUGCCCCACCCCUCAAUGUGAAGACUAAACCAAAGCUUGGGGGAGGGGCGGAGCUUGACCUGGAGAUUUUCUUGAGAGCCAUCCUGGUGGUUAAUCUAGGGAGGCUCUAAAUCCCAUCUCUGUUCUGGUGACCUUGGGCGAGUCUCCAGUGUGAAACGAUAAUAAAGAUGCAGUCUGGAAACGGGAGUGGUAGGCGUAAGUGUGAUUAGGGGGCUUGGCCUCACGUUCUGGCUGCACAUUAGUUGGUCUCCUUUCCCAUGUGGCUGCAGGGAGUGGGGGCUGGGCUGUCUGCGAGCUCCUCCCCCACCAACCCACCCCCGAGGCACGUGGCAAAGCCUGGGGCAAAGGGGAAGACUGACUCUCCGUAGGCAGGGAGCCAGCACCGUUUUUCCUCCUGUGUGGUUUGAGUCGGAAUGGUGGCCUCCCCUCAGCUUCACCGACUGUCCCUAAUGGGGUCAUGAUUUGGGGUCACUCCCCCAAAAACCCAGAGAAUAAAAGUGACUCACCCAAGGUCACGAGGCCACCAGUGGCAGCCAGGGUGGAGUUCCAGGUGUCUUGACUUCUAGCCCAUCACCCGUGUCCGUGGCACCCCCUCCCACCCCAGCUGUCUGGGUUAUUUUGGGCUUCCUCUCGUGCCAGCUGUCUGCUGGCAUCACUGCCAGGAAGCUGGGAAAGCAGUCUGGUUGAAAGUAGCCAGUGUGGUGCUCUUCACUCCUUCUGGCCCCCUUCCCUUGGCUCUGUGAGGGUCUCCAGUCCCAGAUAAGCUGGGGUUGGUCCAUCUUGUCCUUUGCUGGGGCGGGGAGGAAGGAGGCUCCCUCCCGUGCCCCUGGCACCACACUUCUUUGCCCCUAUGCGCACGGGGCUGGGGGGGCGGGGGGGGCACUUCCAAAAGUUGAUGAGGCUCACGUUCUUAAUAUCUCAUGGGCCUCUUCCUUUCACACUGGCCUAAAAUUUGAGGUUUAAAUUUGGUUCUGCUAUUGAGUUGAUUAUUCAACCCCCUUGAUCCUCAGGUGACUGGCGUGUUGCCUGAGGGUGUCCUCUGACCCUUUAGAUAGAGUCCUUAAGGUUCCCAGAGACGGGGCGUCUCAUGGGCGUCCGUGGUUAAAUAAUUGAUUUAAACUUCGACUCUCCCAGCCCCAGGCUGGAGAGCCAUAGCCGGCUUCGGAACUAUUAGGGAGCAAUUAGGUGCUAAACUGUGGUCUGGGUAUGAUUCUGGGGAAGGAGAGGUGUCCUUAACGACCUGUAAGGGUCAUACUCCCUCCACUUCCAUUUCCUCUUUACCUCUUUCACUUUUUUUUUUUUUUUUUUUUUUUGUACCCCCACCCCACACCCAUCACCUGGGGCAGGGAGAUGGGGCAGGGAGAGGCGGAGCAGCCUGUCUGUCCUCGGCCGUGUAGUUCCUCCCCGCUCGGGCUGGCCCCGCCCCCUGGUCCCCGAGCGAGCUCCGGGCGGGGCGCUCCUGGCGCCAAUCCGGUGGGGCCAGCCUGGAGAGGGCCACGCCAGCGGAAGGGCGGCCCAAGGCUGGGAGGUGGCUGGACCUGCCUUGCUACUGGACACCAGGGUCCCGCCUCUUCCGGCCCAUCCAGCGUGAGCCCCAGCCUGGAAUACGACCUUUCAGACCCUCCGGGUGGAGACUGCCUCUGCCCGGACUGUGGCGAGAGGCGCCCCGCCAUCUUGGAGGCCGCCUGGGUCCAGCGCUGUCUCCAACUGGCCAGUGACCGCAGCAAGUCCCCGCCCCUCCGGAAGCUAAGGUCUCCCCCUGUGAAGCAGGAGGAAUGUGGACGAUGACCUUUUGAGCUGUUUCUGAGUCUGGCUUUGUGAGGGGGAGCUUUCUGUGUUCCAGCACGACCUCCCCACCAGCACCGCCAGGUACUGAGCCCUGGAGAGAGUCCUUGACUCACAGUCAGCCCCUGGCCACCUCCCAUCUCUGGUACCACAAAGAAUUAGCUCAAUUUCUUCUGCGGCCGCUGGGUUGGAUGACCCCUCAGGAGUGAGGUGACCUCCUAGGAUGUUCUCAAGUACCAGGGCAAGAGAAGCUGGAAGAAUUGUCCUUAACUUCCACAUCCUAACCUAUGCUUGGUCAGACUUUGCCCCGGCAAGACGGAAGUGGAUCUGGCCCUUAUUUCUCUUCUGGGCUCAGCUGGCCUUAUGGCGGGAGGCACAGGCCAAACGAGUCCACGCCACUCAUGCUACCUGGCGUGCUCCCCUAGGCUUCGGUGUCCAACAGCUCUAUGGCAAGAACCAAUUUAAGGACUCUUGCUUGCUUUCCUAAACCUCCCCAGGAAUUCCUUGUGAAUAGAAGGUGAAUGACUUGGGGCCUCAGAACAUCUCAGGUAAGGGAGCAGGGCUCCCAGAGCUUACGAGCUGGCCCUGCUCAGCGGGCCUGCCCUGGCCCAGCUGCCUCUGAGGAAGCUCUCAGCAGCUGGCCUGGCUCCUGGGUAUUUUUAGGUACAGAUCCAGCCCCUGCACCACUGGAGCGGAGUCCAAUUCAAACACUCCAGGCCGGGUGGGGCUGGGGUUCUGCCAGCCUCCUGGUGAUGCAGGGGUGGGUGGGUGUGCCGGGGCCAGUGUCAGCUGUUCUGCCUGCAUGCAGGCAGGGCCCGGAAGCCUCCUUUUUCUUCCGCCCCGAGCGCCCCCCCCCUAGUUUGGUGGAAGCCAUGUGUUCUGUCUUGAGAUCGGAGCCCCAUUUUUCAGGAGAGAAAAUGGAAACUGAGGUCCCAGAUUUUGAGGAAUGUCAGGCGGUGUGGUUAACCCCCAGGUGGCAGUUUGCUCAGAGUGGGUUGACCCUCCUAACUGAAUCUCCCCGGCCCCUCAUUCUCUUGCCCUCCAGGCCCUCCCUGAGCCUCAGGGUCAGAUCCAGGGCUGGCUGGAAAGGUAAGUGGUUCUCCCCUCAUUCGGAGGCCUCCUUCAUCCUUCAUCUCCUGCUGGCCUCAGGCUGCCAUUACAGACACACCCCCAGCCCUGCCUCACCAGCCAGUCACAGCUUCUCUUAAGUCACCAGAGACAGCUUGAGUACCUGGCUUUGGCUGGGCACUUCUUUUCAGGAGCUUUCCUCUCUUGAGCCUGGCAGAAAGGCCCUCCCUGAUCUGACUCCAGUUACCUUGACAACCCUGUCUGGCCUCCCUGCUCACUCUCAGGCACCGUGGAACCUAAUGGGGUUUUCCAGCCACCAUGCGUUUGCCCAGGGUGCCCAUCCUGUUUCCAUUGGUCUUCCCUCUCAACAUUGCCUGUAUUAGGUUCGACCUUCCCUAAGCCCUCAUCUCUAAAUUGUUCACAUCUCCCAGACUCCUUUAGACUGUUCCCCAAGACUUAGCUGCUUUGCAGGAAGGAACAUGGUUGCCUCUCAAUAAAUUUGUGUUGGAAAAAA
Molecule: long non-coding RNA, 4792 nt
Filed under: Canis lupus familiaris (dog)
Lineage: Eukaryota; Metazoa; Chordata; Mammalia; Carnivora; Canidae
Description: lncRNA (ENSCAFG00845023946.1)
Source: RNAcentral